RNAcentral lists this long non-coding RNA (18047 nucleotides) under Lactuca sativa (garden lettuce). RNAcentral describes it as "long non-coding RNA (LSAT_LNC003591)". Lineage: Eukaryota; Viridiplantae; Streptophyta; Magnoliopsida; Asterales; Asteraceae. The record is from RNAcentral.
AAAUUUCAAAUCUCAUUUCCACGCAUUACUGACUUGUACGUUAUAUUUGUACCAUGUACAUGGAGUGCUUAUAUGGUUUUUGUUUUUUAGACACGUUUGCUUCAUUGUUGAGUUGUACAGUACAACCCAACCAUGCAUUGAAGAGUUGUACGAAAACGUACUAUCGGCUUAUGCUUGUACUGAAAAAUGAAGAUGACAAAUCACAUAUAUAUCAUGUUCAUUUAAGAACUCAUACGCUUUUUAGAUGCCUAAGUAGUCCACUAAAUCAAUAUUUGAUGCAGAGUUUAGUUGUACCGUACAACACAUUAAUGCAGCGGGAUGAAAAAAACAGAAGCAUGGUUGAUUUGUACAAUAUAGCCCAUCACCUAUAAUAGCCUAUGCUAUGCAUUGUAGGUCCCACGUAAAAUUAUUUUCUUCAUUUUCUAUUUGUACCAUGUACAUGUAGAUAUGUGGAUGCGUUUUUAGUUGUAAUGUACAACCCAACAAUGCAGGUUCUUUAUGUAAAUGCAUAUAUACGUAGAGAGAGAGAGAGAGAGAGAGAGAGAGAAUAUACCCGGAAGAGGAGUGGCACCCAAGAGUGUAUCAACGCCCUUGUACUUGCAAGCCUUGCAGUAAACAACACCCUGAACAGCCACCAACUUCCUCGCCGGGAUCGGAGCUAGGAACGGUGCCGGUGAGGAACUCGGUGGGUGAACAGGUGCCUUGGUGGGUGCCUGAACAGGUGCUUUAGUGGGUGGGUGAACCGGAGCAUGAACAGGAGCUUUCGUCGGCGCGUGAGCCAUGGGAGGCGAAGCAAGUUUGUGAUGGUGACCAACACCAGGUUUGUGGUGGUGGUGAUGGUGGUGAGGUGCCGGAGCUGCCACUGGUUGGUACGACGGAGCGUGGUGUGGCGCUUGUGUCCAGCUGACAUUGUCGUCGACACCAUCACCAAACACAUUCAUCGUCAAGCAUAAGCUCAGCAGCACUGCUGAGAGUAGAACCCUACUCCCCAUUGUAGAAUGUGUUGUUGGUGUUUGUGUGUGAGAGAGAACUAGAGAGAGAGUGAGAGGACGGUGGAAAUGGUGAGAAUGGAGUGGUGACAUUUAUACAGGGUUGGAAGGGUAGCUCUUGACAUUUUAUGACACAUUUACGUGUUAAAAGCAGAGGUGAAUGGGCCCUAGUAAAUACGAACUCGAAAAAAGAUGCAUGAUUUGUUUCGAUGCGUUUCACAAAAGUGCUUUAUUGCGCUAUAAAUAAUUGUUUUUUUAUAUAUAAAAUAACUUUUACUAUGGGUCGACGUGAAUUGAAGUCCCUAAAACAACAUUUAAGAUUUGUUAUUGACCUCUAUUAUGUUAUAUUUUUAUAAGAAUACAAUUGAAUCUAAGUUAUUUGUAAUGUUUUUUUGUAUGACAAAUUUCUUGGGCGGUGAUUGUGUAAAGAAAAGGAUAACACACCAAGUUUUAAAUGCAUAAACUUUGAUUGCGGGAGCGUAUAGUUUUUUAUGGACAUGCGGUGAGUCAUAAUGACAUGAUGGAUGCAAUAAUGAAAUAGGAAUUAUCGAGUAAUUUCACAACAAAAAUUAGGAGCUUAAUGGUUUUGAUAGGUUAAUAAGGGAAAAAAAUAAGGAAGGUUUAUUAGAAAAAUGACACUGACAGACUCCGUUCACUAGCUAGUGACUAGUUUAAGAAACAUGAAAAAUCGUUUUGGAAGAGAUGCAACUAUGCUAGAAAAAGUCCUUCAUACGUUUAACAGAAGCAUGUUGGCAUACGUUUCACAUAUUGUCUAAUGAGCCUUUUGGAUUAAUAUCUUGAAUAGGGUUUGGUAAUAGCCAAUCUUAUUAGUCGUUUUUAAAUUUUAAAUUUUAACUAGGAGAUGUUGGCAAUAAUGGUGUCUGUUUGGUUCUUUGGGUUAAUAGACCUUAAAGAAAGAUUUGGUAAUUUCCAAAUUCCAAGUACAAAUGACUUAGAAAUCAAUAUAUGUCAUGAACAUAAUAUAAUAUAACAUGUUAACUGAGUGACAAUUAAAUUAUAUAAUGGAUCAUUAGAAUAAUAAUUCUAAGUUGAAAAUAAGAAAUGUUGCUUUCAAAAAAAUUACGAAUAUAAGUAAUUAUCUGAAAUAAUAGUUUUUAAAAUAUUAAUAUUUGUUGAAUAUUGUUGUGUUAAUGGUUGUUGUUAAAACUUAUGUAUCUUACGUGAUGAAAGUGUUACGUGUUUUGCAUUAUGACAUAUACUUUCGGUACCGUAUAAAAAUUGAUUGCUCUAGUAUAAUAUCUAGCGUUUUUGAAGAUGAAAAUGUUACGUGUUUUGUUUUAUGACAUAUACUUUUGGUAUCAUAUUAAAAUAGAUUGCUCUAGUAUAAUAUCUAGUGUUUAUGAAGAUUACAUAUGAGACUUUUGGGAUUAGAAAUGGAAAGUGUCGUUGAACGAGUUUAUGGAUUUGUUAACAUUGUAUAACUUAUAAUGCUUUGACUUUUUGAUAUGAUAUUGUUGUAAACCCCAAAUAAAGAAUAAUAUUCCAAACAUUUCAAAGUAAAUUUUCUUUGGAAUCAAUUUAUAUAAAGCAUUACCUAAUGUUUUUUUUAAAUGACAUUUUCAUGAUCUAAUAAGGUAAUGAAAAUUUCGGUCACGACUAAGCCUCACACGUUGUCUGACGCUGAAUUUGAUGUUGGGAGAAAUCCAUGUCAAAUAUGAAGAUUGCAAGAAUAAAAAGUAAUUUAUAAUUAUAAUAUAUAUCAUUUCAUUCCAUAAGGAUUGGAAAAAAAAAAACACCCCUCUCCUUUAGAACUCGAUCAUAAUCGGAAUUUCAUUCCUCACACUUCAUGCUAUUCCUCAGUGGCAACCAAAGACGAAGAUUUUAUGCAUAAAAGUAAUUCUUAAAGUAAAUUAUUGUAACGCCUUGUUCCGAAUUGUUUCUUAUUUAGAGGCGAGUGAUGUAAUUUGGAUGAUUUGGGUGUUAGGUUUGUGUUUUGGAGCCAAUGGGUAUUUUCGGUAAAGUGUCAGUUCAUGUUUUAUGGAAUUGAAUCAUUGUUCGGGAAAUUUUAUGGCAUGUAUAAGUUGAUAAAAGCGUAGAGCCUCUUGCUACGUUUUCAUGGAUAUAAGGAUCAUCAGAGUAUUUUAGGGUUUAAGAAGAAACCCUAGUUUGUGGGUCGUACAUAGGGAGUAUGUGGGACGUACUGGUGCGAAGUGUAGUACGUGAGGCGUACUUUGGUGUACGCUUAGCGUACUACGAAGGAUGGAUCGGGAGUGUGAGGCCAUGUAUGUUGGGCGUACAAGGAUUAUGCGGGGCAUACGAGGAAUAGUGGAAACCUUAAUUUUAAGUGUGUGUUCCCUAUUUAAGCAUCUUAAGUCUUUAGGGUUGGCCUCUUUACCAUCCCCCAAGCCUCUUAAAACCCUAAAUUGACCCUUAGCCUCCAUUAAUGUGCAUUUGAGCUCUUGAGGAAAAUUUGAUGUUGUUUUGCUCAUUUUUAAAGAGAUUGAAGAAGGAUGAAGGUUCAUAGCUUGGUGGGGAACUUAGAGAUCCAUAAUCAUUCAUCACAUUGCAAGCCCUUGGAAGUAUCAAGUUCAAAUCUUGACUUGUUAAUGUUUGGAUCUCUUGUUGUCUUGAUUUUCAUGCUUUUGGCUCCCUUUUUGGGUUAAUUGAUGAGUUAAGUUGUUUGAAUGACUUAUUCUUCUGGAUAUGAGUUGUUUUGAGGUUCUUAUGCAUAAAGGUGCAAGCUUUAUGAGGUUUAAGGUCACAUGCAUGUGUUAACUCACCCAAUAGUCCUUUUCAGCUUUAAGAGCUUCAUUUAGUCAUGCAUGAAUGUAAAGUUGACAACUUUGUGCGAUUAUCUAGCCUAAGGAAGUCAGAUCUAUGUUUUGGAACAAUGUCUUAAGGGAUUAAGGGUUGAAUGUGAAAGGUGGUUGUUCAGGAGGAGUAUGUUGGGCGUACAAGCCUGUACGCGCAGGAUACAAGCCUAUACGUGUAGCAUACAAGCUCUAAAGCAUGUACGCUUAAUAUACAGCUGAAUACGCCCCGCGUACUUAGCAGAGUGGGCCUCGAAUCUUUGGUCUUCGGUUUGUGCCAUGUUUUGGGAUUUGAUGUUUAGGGUUUUGUUGGGCCAUCUGAUUUCUGGUGUUUUGGGCUGGGUAUAUUAUUGGGCCUUGGGUUAAGGCCCAUGGAAGCGAUUUUGGCCCAAUUUGGAAAACUGGGCCAUGUUUGGGCCUUGGGUGUCUAUUUGAAAUUGGGCUUUUGGAUUGUUGGGUUGGGCCUUGGCCUUGUGCCAAGUUAUGGAGAGGACAAAAAGGUCUUUUACCCUGGUUCAGACAUUUUAUAUGAGUCGGGAUCCCAGUAUUUAUUUGGAUUAUGUUUUGUGAUUAUAACGUGGGGAUUUUAGCGGGUCAGCAACUAGAGAUUUAUCUGCGAGAUUCAGAAGUGUAAGGUGAGUCUCCUCACUUAAUUUAGCGGUUCAAAGGCAUCAAUGUCGGCCCAUGGUUUAUAUGUUAGGAUGUUACAUGUCUGUAUGACUCUUGCAUGUGUUAUGUGAUGGUACCGGGCAAGGCCCAAUGCCAGGUGGGGCCUGAUAAGUAUAAUGUAUGCUAGUUAUCAGUAGGUGUUCUCCAUAUGGUAUAUGUUUGGGACGUUUUAAUUAUAUUUUUGUCGGCCCAUGGUUUAUAUGUUUGGGACGUUUCAAUUAUAUUUUGCUCCAUAUGGUAUACAUAUUUAUGUAGGUUUGGUCGUAGUUUUUAAAAUUUGCCAUGAGUUGUCCUCAUGGUUGUAAAAUCCAUCAAAAAUGUCCUCUCACUAUGUUACUGACUAUAUAAAUAUGUUAAAGAAACAUCAUGUGCUUCUCAUAAGAGGGCAUUUUGCUAUUUUCCUCCCUUUUUUUUUGUCUCUAACGACUUUAUGCCGUUAAUAAGUUUAUUUAUUCCUACGAUUUGCAUAAUUUGUCCCUAGGAUAAAGUUUCCAUUAUUCACCAAAGAAAAACUAUCCAUAUUCUUGAUUUUCAUCAAAUAGUUACUCCUUUUGUUAGUCUACUGCAACAAAAAAAUUCAAAACAUUUUUGAAGGAUCGGUAUUAAGAGAGAUAAAAUGAUUUGUUAAUAUAUUAUAUGAUUAACAUAUUAAUCAUAAUUACUCAAUAAUUAAUUAAGAAUUAAUCAGAAUUAAUUUUGGGUUAAUUAGAAUUAACUAAAAUGUGAAAUUAUCCAAUAGUUUAACAAGGAAGGAAAUUCUAAAACCCUUCUACCUAUGUUCGGUUUUGGUGUCGCUUAGGAAAGGUUAUGGAAGCAAUCUGAUUCCAAUAAGGAAAUUGCAUUUGAAUCAGAUUAAAAUAUUAUUAUUUCAAUAUUCAAAUUUAGGGUUUCAGGGUUAGCAAUAUAAAUGGUCUUAACCGUAAGCAAAGCCGAUCCCUAACCUCCUCAAUAAAGAAUUUGAAAUUCUCCCUCCCCCUAUAUCCUAAAUAUCGCUCCUAGGAUUUCCUACGGUUUUGGGUGCGAUUUAUUAGUAGCUACCACACUAUUGGAGCUAAGUUUUCCAAAUGAGAUCUACAAGAAGGUUUCUAGCAUCAGUUGUUUGUUGCUAAAUGUAUGAUUCUAACCCUAAGUAAUUUCAAUUAUAGUAGGUUAUAAGUUGUUUCUUAAAGUAUGUAGCUAUAAUAGUGAAAAUGCCAUAAAAGUUCUAGGUUGCAUUUGCUCAUAAGAGUUUAUGUGUAAAAUCCUUUAUGCGGAUCUUUUUAUUGUAACAUAGAAAACCCAUCAGCUCCAACCAACAAUGUGGAACUUAUGAGUAUUAAAACAUGUUAUUAAUGUUAAAGAAUCUUCUAGUAAGUGUUUAUUGUCCCACCAUCGUAGGGAUUUGCAUAAAAUACUCUCCAUUUGUUUGUUAUUUUGUAAAGGGUUUUGAACGGUACUUCAUGAUGCAAAUCAACCAUGAUGGGUUUUUUUCAAAAGCUCCAAUAAUAAAAUACAAUGGUGAUAAGGUUACAUACAUUGAAAAUGUGGAAAUUGAAGAGUUUUCUAUAUAUGAAUUAAAUGUUGUGGUGUAAGAAUUAAGGCAUCUCAAACAUGAGCCUAUUAUCAUUUCUUCAUGCCUAAAGGUUAGCUUGUUUUUGGUUUUUAACUACUUAGCAAUGACCAAAUGUGAUUAAUCUUUCAAGGUGUAUAGGGAAAUUAAAGAGAUAAAUAUUUGCACUAGACAUGGUAAAAUCCAGCUACAUACAUACUUCAUGCCCCAUGUUAAAGUUAUUAUCCAAGAAAUUGAAAAUUCUUCAUUCCUAAGAUAUAAUAGGAACAAAAAAAGAUGAUAGAAACGGGUUCAUAUAUUGAGAAUCUUAAUUUUCACUUUAACACACCAUUGUAUUUUUCCCAAGUCAUUCAUAUUAAUGCACAUGAUCAAACAUUAAAUGGCAUAGUUUAUUUCUAUAGAACCGGUAAAAAUUAAAUGGAAUCCUUAGUUGUUGAUGAAUAUUUUGGUACAAGAUCAAGGUCAUGCUCAAGCUUUGCCACACGAGUUAAUUACUACCCUUAUUGUUGAACAAGAAUCAGGUCGUGAUCAAGUUUCGACACAAUAUUUUAUUAAUCCCUUUGUUUUUUAACAUUAAGUCACAGACAAAGUAAUGUUAACGAUCCCAUGUUUGAUUAAGAAGACUUGACUUUUCGACCCAUUCUUUGACUUAGGAGAUAAUGAUAUAUCAUAUGAGGAUAUAAUAGAAGAGGAUUAUGAAGUUGAAAAUCAAGUUGAAUAUGAACCACAAGUUAAAAAGACAUUAGGGGCAUUUGUUGAUGACAUGUAUCAAGAUCAUGCAUCAAGUUAUGAGAGUAAUAAUGAUGAUAUCAUAUUUGAUAGUGACUUUUAAUUGGAAGAUCAAGAAUUAAUAAAAGAUUUAGACAUAGACAUGGUUGAUCCAGUAGUUUAGGGUUUUGGUAGGUAACAAGACAAUGAUGUGGAUACAUACUUCAAACCAAACUAAUAUUGAAGUGAUAGAGACAACAUAGUUCAUAUUUUAUGGUAUAAAAUAGUAUAGAAGAAAUCGGAUAUUAUCAAACCUAAGGCAAUCAAGGACAUGCUUGGCAACUGAAGUGAGUGAGGAUAGGUUCUCACUUGGUGAAAUGUUUAUAAACAAGAAACAUAUGAAAUAGGUAAUUACUAAUCUUGAAAUAGAAAGUAUAAGAUAUUGACAUAUUUUCAAAAAUAAUAAAGUCUAAAUAAAGGUUGUUUGUAGAGGCUUCGUGACAAAUUUAAAUGAAAGUGGUCCAUCUAAAAGCAUUAAAGACAAAGGGAAACUUAAGUUGGUAAAAUCAAAUAGUAUUUAAUUUCCUUUAAAUACUUCAUACUUCUAUGUUAAAGAAACAAGAUGAUUCAAUGGUUAAAAAGACAUUAUAAUGUGAGAGGAAAAGAGAGGAAAAGACAAACAUGUCCAUGUAUAAGGGGCACACGAUGCCUCUUUAAUAGACUUUGUUAGAAAAUAAUAGAGGGAGGGACCGUUAUUGAUAGAUUUACUAAUCAUGAUGACCACUAGUGUCAAAUUUCAAAAACUAUGAACAAACCUACAUAAAGGUAUACCAUAGGAACCAAAACUAUAAUGUACUCUACACAAAACUACAAAAUUCUUCCUUGUGGUUUGCAAAAAAAAAAAACUAUGGAUAGGGUCUAAAACGUUUUCGAAUUGCAUAAAAUGUCCAAAAUCAGGAAAUUCCUAUGAUUUUGGUCCAUGGAAAACUUGAAAUGACAGCUUUUCCAUUUUAAUUUAUGUUUUAUGUUUGUUUUAUAUUUUAUUAACUAAAAAUAACAAACAUGUUCCCAACCUUUCUCUCUCUCUCUCUCUACCAAACAUCUUCCUUAUCCCUUCUUGUUUUUUCUCCCCUUAAUUCUAAUUUGGAAGAUAAUUCCGGAAUUCAAAAACUUGUAAUCCAUAUGUAACGUAAUACCCAUUUUUCAUUCUUGUAACCCAUAUAUAAGUUCAAAAUUCAUAUGAUACACAUAUGUGCAUUCAAUCGUACCAAGAGAGAAAGAAGGGAGAGAGAGACUCCAAAUAUGAAAUCCUUGAUAGUACAUGAAAGUUGAUCUUUAUCCUAUCCAAACUGAGUAAAUAUUAUGAGAUCAAGUGAAACGACCCAAAAAUACGGUUCGAAAUUUUCAUUUUUAAUAUAACCAAAAAUCAUAAAACUGAGUAUAUCAUAAUAAGACCAUGCGUUGCGUAUCUCAAAACCAUACUAAAAUAUUGUAAAAAGUAAACUGUGCCACAACUGUAUCAAAACAUAUCUAAGAAAACUGAAUCAACUCCCAGGAUAAAAACUGAAGCUAUGGUGUGUGCGAUGCCAUCAUCCCGAGCUCUUCCCUUUGCUUGUGGAAGUACCUGAAACCAAAACUGAAACUGUAAGCACGAAGCUUAGUGAGCUCCCCCAAACUACCACAUACCACACAAUAACAUAUAAAGCACAUACUGGGCCUUGCCCACUGCAUCAAACCGAAGUCCGACUAACUGGGGCCUUGCCCCCUACAUCGGACCGAAGUCCGAAGCUAACUGGAACAUCGGACCGAAGUCCGAAGCUGACUGAGACCCUCGUCCCCUACAUCGAACCAAGUCCGAAGCUGACUAGGACAUCAGACUGAAGUCCGAAGCUGACUGGGACCUACGUCCCCUACAUCGGACCGGAGUCCGAAGCUGACAUCGGACCGAAGUCCGAAGCUGACUGAACAAAGCAUAAACAUAUCAUCUACCAUAAACACAUAACCCUGUCUGAACCACGAAGGCAUCAAACAUACUAACUACUACAUCGGACCGAGGUCCGAAGCUGACUGCUAGCUAAACGGGUCGACAUUGUGGCCUUAGACCCAUUACUACUGGAAGGAAACUCACCUCGUGAACUGGCUGCUGUGUGAAUGGCUCUGGAAGCUAACUGUUGCUGCUCCGGUAUCUCCCCGGCUACAAGGCCAUAAACACACUCAAUCAAAUACUAAACACUGCACUGGGGUAAAAUAACUCUUUUACCCUUGGUCAAAGUCAACUCUCCCGGUCAAAGUCAACCCACAGUUGACCUGACUCGCCGAGUUGGGCCACCAACUCGCCGAGUCUCUAAUCUCAUUUCACAACCCCACUCGUGGCUACUCGUCGAGUAUGGCAUCGACUCGACGAGUACUCUCUCAAUCCAAGAACUCAGACAAUCUUCAUCCGACUCGCCGAGUCAUAUGAACAACUCGACGAGUUGUUCUUGAGCUUAAGAAGAUUGCCUUGGACUCGCCGAGUUGUAUGAACAACUCGCCGAGUCCCUCCAUUACUGAGUCUACCCUCAAACUCGCUGAGUCCACUCCACUACUCACUGGUCCCACUCGACACCGCUCAAAAGGAAGAAAUCGGGGACUCGCGACUCGACUCGCCGAGUCGUUCUUCCGACUCGCCGAGUCACAGCCAUGCAACUAUUCUACACUCGAUUCUGCUCGAAUCCAAAACAUACAAAUGAUAGAUCUGAGUCCAAUAAGCUGAUUUACCACGUAAAGUUUCCAACUUUACGUGUACAAACACAUGAACAAGGGAAUAAAGGCUAAAAGAUGCUUAAAAGGGGUAGAUCUAGGGUUAAUAUGCAAAAUAGCUCCAUAAAGGCAAUAGAUCUGGGCUCUACAACUCCUAAAUGAACAGAUCUAAGGAUAUCUCGACAUAAUAGGGCUUCCAUAUCAACAUAAGGCUUGAGAAAAGCAUCAACUAGAUCUAGAAGGGGUUUUAAAGCAUAAAAGGGAAGGAAAUCUGAAGAAUACCUCAAAGAGCUCUUGCUUUCCCUUGAAUCUCUGCUCUACAAUCCUUCUCCUUGCUCCUUUCUUCUUCUCCUUCUUCAAGCCUUCACAAAUGCACACAAGAUCACUUAAAACACUCAAGAUCGAAUUAGGGUUUUCUCACAGCUUUAGAGGGUGAAGGAGGCGAGAUUGGGGGCUAUAAGGUGGCUUAAAUAGUGGGCAACCCGGGGAUUUAGGGUUUCUCCCAGACGGACAGACUCGCCGAGUCCAGAAUAUGGACUCGCCGAGUCGCCAGCUAACACGUGCUCGAAAUCCCGACCCUACUCGGCGAGUCAGGCUAUGAACUCGCCGAGUCCCUCUUGCAAAACUUCAAAAUAAAUACCAAGGAAUUAUCAUACCGGAGACGGGUCGUUACAAUUCUCCCCCACUUAUCUCAGACUUCGUCCUCGAAGUCUGCUACGGCUGAAUCUGCAAAUAUCUCUGGGUAGUGCUCCCUCAUCUCCUCCUCAGCCUCCCACGUCCAUUCCGAUCCCUUCCGGUGCUGCCACUGCACCUUCACUAACUGAAUUACCUUGUUCCUCAAGGUCUUGGUCUUCCGGUCCAGAAUCGCGACCGGCCUCUCAAUAUAAUUCAGGCUACUAUCAACCUGAAUAUCCUCUAGGGGAACGACUGCUGACUCAUCCACCAAACACUUCCUCAACUGAGACACAUGGAAAGUGUUGUGGAUCUGACUAAGCUCCUCAGGAAGAUCUAACCGAUAAGCAACCCGACCCACCCGGGCCAAAACCCUGAAAGGACCAAUAAAUCUGGGGCCCAACUUGCCCCUCUUCCGGAACCUGAUGACACCCUUCCAAGGUGAGACCUUCAGAAGGACCAUAUCCCCCACCUGGAACUCCAAGUCCGAACGCCUCCUAUCGGCGUAGCUUUUCUGCCGACUCUGAGCAGUCUGCAGUCUACUACGGACCUGCUGGAUCAACUCAGUCGUCUUGAGCACCACCUCCGUGCUCCCGAUGACCCGCUGACCGACCUCGCCCCAACAAAUCGGGGUCCUACACUUCCUCCCAUACAGCAUCUCAAAGGGAGGUCGAUCAAUGCUCGCAUGAUAACUGUUGUUAUACGAGAAUUCCGCUAACGGAAGAUACGUAUCCCAACUGCCACCGAAAUCUAGGACACAUGCCCUAAGCAUGUCCUCGAGAGUCUGAAUCGUCCUCUCGCUCUGCCCGUCUGUCUGAGGGUGGAAAGCGGUGCUGAAAUGGAGACGAGUACCCAUCUCGUCGUGGAACCGCUUCCAGAAUCUGGAUGUGAAACGGACAUCUCGGUCUGACACCACCGAUACCGGCACUCCAUGACGUGCCACAAUCUCUCGCACAUAGAUAUCGGCUAACUUCUCCGCCGAUAUACUCUCCUGGAUCGGGAUAAAAUGGGCACUCUUCGUCAACCGAUCCACUACUACCCAUAUCGAAUCCACUCCUCGUGCGGUCCGGGGAAGCUUGGUGACAAAAUCCAUGGUAAUGUCCUCCCAUUUCCACACGGGAAUGUCUAACGGCUGCAUCCUGCCGUGAGGUCUCUGGUGCUCCGCCUUGACCUUCCGGCAGGUCAGGCAUCUCUCGACGUACCAGGCGACGUCCCGCUUCAUGCAGGGCCACCAAUAAUCAGGUCGAAGAUCUCGGUACAUCUUCGUCGCCCCUGGGUGGAUAGAAAACCGAGACUUAUGAGCCUCAUCCAUCAACACUUGCCGUACUCCACCCCAGUACGGUACCCACACUCUCCCGUGAAGCGUCAGCAAACCACGACUAUCAUAAUCAAACGAGGCUACUCGGCCCACGAUCCUCUCACACUUCUGUCUCUCCUCCUUGAGACCCUCCACCUGAGCCUCCUUGAUCCGCUCCAACAACGGAGUGAUCACUGUCAUCCUCAAACAUAGAUCCCUGAUAGGGGCCGCCGACACUUUGCGGCUUAGGGCGUCGGCCACCACGUUGGCCUUCCCUGGAUGGUAAAGGAUCUCACAAUCAUAAUCCUUUAGCACAUCCAACCACCUCCUCUGCCUCAUGUUCAGACUCGGCUGAUCCAUAAGGUACCUCAAACUCUUGUGAUCCGUGUAAAUAGUACAACGGACCCCAUAAAGGUAAUGCCUCCAAAUCUUGAGGGCAAACACAACUGCCCCCAGCUCCAAAUCAUGGGUAGGAUAAUUAGCCUCGUGAGGCUUCAACUGUCUCGAGGCAUAAGCUAUCACAUGGCCUCGCUGCAUCAAAACUGCUCCCAUACCUGUGAUCGAGGCAUCACAAUAGACUACAAAGUCCUCUACUCCCUCUGGCAAGGUAAGGAUCGGAGCCUCGCAUAAUCUCUGCCUGAGGGUCUCGAACGCUGUCUGCUGCUCCGGACCCCAACGAAAUACCACUGACUUCUUGGUCAGUCGGGUGAGCGGCACUGCUAUCUUGGAGAAAUCCUGAAUAAAUCUCCGAUAAUACCCUGCCAACCCUAGGAAGCUCCGAAUCUCAGAUGGAGACUUCGGGACCUCCCACUGCAUCACGGCCUCUAUCUUGGCCGGAUCUACCAAAAUACCCUUCUGGUUGACGAGGUGACCAAGGAACUGCACCUCGCGCAACCAGAACUCACAUUUGGAGAACUUUGCGAAAAGUCUCUCCCUCCUCAAAACCUCCAGCACCUCCCGCAGGUGCUCCUCGUGCUGCUCCUGCGUCUUGGAAUAUACCAAGAUAUCAUCUAUGAACACUAUCACUGACCGAUCCAGCAUCGGCCUACACACGCGGUUCAUGAGAUCCAUGAACGCGGCUGGAGCAUUGGUGAGCCCAAAUGGCAUCACCACAAACUCGUAAUGACCAUACCUGGUCCUGAAAGCAGUCUUCUGUACAUCCUCAUCUCUAACCCGCAUCUGAUGAUAUCCGGAGCGUAGAUCGAUCUUGGAGAACCAAGACGCUCCCUGAAGCUGAUCAAACAAAUCAUCUAUCCUCGGGAGUGGGUAACGGUUCUUCACCGUUACCUUAUUCAACUCCCGAUAAUCAAUACACAUACGAUGCGACCCAUCCUUCUUUCUCACAAACAGGAUCGGCGCUCCCCAAGGCGAACUGCUCGGCCGAAUGAAACCCUUGUCUAACAGCUCCUGCAGCUGUGUAGACAACUCCUGCAUCUCAGGGGGAGCUAGUCGAUACGGUGCCUUGGCUAUCGGAGCCGCACCAGGAAUGAGGUCGAUCCUGAACUCAACCUGUCUCUCAGGAGGUAUCCCCGGCAAAUCCUCGGGAAACACAUCCGGGUAGUCUCGAACAAUAGGAACAUCAUCAACUGUCGACUUGCCCUUCUCCCGGGCAUCCAAAACGUAAGCUACAAAACCGGCGCAACCCUGCUGAACAUAGCGCCUCGCCCUUGCGGCGGAACAAAAGGUCGGUCCUCGCUGUGGCCUCUCGCCCUGAAUCACUAACUCUCCCCCACUGGGAGUGCGAACCCUCACUAAAUGAAGCUCACAAUCAAUCACAGCCCCAUUGGGGCUUAGCCAAUGCAUGCCCACAAUAACCUUAUUCCCUCGCAGGGGAAUAGGAACCAGGUCCACCGAAAACUGCUCAUCAAACAACUGAAGAGAACACCCUCUAUGCACUCUGCCGACCCUCACGGUCCUGUCAUCUGCUAUCUCAACCUCUAAUGGACAAUCCAGCUCCCCUGGAGCUCUACUAAAUCUCUUGCUAAGCGCAAGCGAUACGAAUGAUCGGGUAGCCCCCGAAUCGAAUAAUACCAUAGCAGAAAUGCCGUUCACAGAGAACGACCCUAUAUAAAACAUACAAUCAUAAGCAAUAAUCAAUCAAUAAUAAUAAAGAGAUGAAGGGAAGAUACAUACCCGUCACCACAUCAGGAGUCGCUCGCGCCUCCUCUGCUGUCAUCUGAAACGCCCUACUCUUCGCCACUGGCGCCUCAGCUCGGCCCUGCCGGCCAUCUGUAAUCCUCAAAGUAGCAGGGGCAGGUGCAGCCACCUUCCCUACUGCAGCUAAACUCGGACACUGGGACUUUUUAUGUCCCCUCUGAUUGCACUGAAAGCAAAUCAGAUCUGAUGCUGCAACGGCAGUAGCAGGGGCCGUACAAUCCCUGCUCAAAUGCCCAGUCCGACCGCACUUGUAGCAGCCGGAACUCCCUGCCUUGCACACCCCAUCGUGCAAUCUCCCACACUUGCCACAUCGACCGUGGCUCUGCUGACUCCUGGAUCUGUGAUCAGAAACCUUGGGCUUUUUGCCCGAACUGCCUGUACCCGAAACCGCCUCCGGUUUCCUCUUCUUCUCCAUCUCGAGAUCAAUCUCCCUCUCCCGAGCCCUAGCAAUCAUGUCAUCCAGCGUUUUACAGCUGGACCGGCUCACAAACUGGCGGAUAUCGCUCCGCAACAUCUCAUGAUAACGGGCCUUCUUCAUCUCCUCAUCGGCUGCAUACUGAGGAACAAGAAGAGCCCUCUCCCUGAACUUGGCGGUGAUCUCCGCCACGGUCUCUGUAGUCUGGGUGAGGUCCUGAAACUCUCUGGCUAACUGCUGCACCUCAAUAACUGGUGCAAACUCCGCCCUGAACCUGGUAGAGAAAUCAGCCCAGGUCAUGGCAUCCAACGCUGCAUCAUCUCCAAUGGUAUGUCCGACCUCCUCCCACCAAUCCCGUGCCCUGUCCUUCAGAAGACAGGACGCCAAUCUGACCUUGUCCCCCUCGGGACACCUGCUAGUGCGGAACGCGUUGGCCACAUCCGCCAACCAUCUAGUACUCGCUAUGGGGUCCCGCGCCCCAUGAUAGUCUGGAGCUCCACAUGCCCUGAACUCCCUGAAUGUAAGUGUGCGCGACCCCAUCAUGGCCGCCACCUCGGCACGGAAGGUGCCCAAUCUCUCAUCCAUCAGCUCUAGGAUACCCUCCUUGAUCGAACCGAAGAUCACAGGAGUCUGCUCUAAAAUGAUACGAGUAAUCUCUGAAGAAAGAAACUCUCUGGUCUGCUCAUCCAUGCGCUCGUCCCCCGAGCCUGAUCCUGAUCCCUCCCCGGCACCUCCACUGCCGGCUGCUGUCCUCGGACGCAAAACCACCAUUCUGAAACACAUCAUAGCAAUAUCAGAAAACUGAAAUAUCUCAAGGGAUCAUUGAUACUACUACUAGCUUCCUGGUCUUGUCUCGGCCUUCCUUGAUUCGAGUACGGAUCCUCUGCUUUCAGUAGUACGGGCCCAUACUACCUUCCACAUCUAUCCGUACUUUCCUCAAGAACCGCCUUGACUCCACCAAGUCACUUCUACUACUACUGAUCUCUGCUACUCUCAUCCUAGGCUUGCCCUAGGGAAAUCUCUGACUCCACUCAAACCAGUCCUCAGCUGCCGAAGGCCUCCUUGUAAUGCUAAUUAGCCACCACCUGAAUACCAUCACAUGCAAUGAGGCUCGGAUAAUCCUUCGAGUAAAAGACUCGUCCCUACAACGGUUGGACUCAGACAAGAGCUGCGCAAUAGGGCCAAAUCCAGCACUCUGAGAUUAUUCAACCCUGAUCACAUGUGAUGUGGCGUAUUCACCUAAUGGCUAACUCCCAUCACUCAGAGUCUCACAAAGCACAAAGCAAGCAACAUUCGGAUAAGGGAAACAUACUCAUGCAAAACUAUUCUCAUAACGAGAAGUUACUCUAGCAUACAAUGCUAAGCUCGCGCUACCAGGCAUAACCUAAACAGGCUAUCCUACUGUUGUCUACUUAGUACUAGCAUGCAAUUCUCAUAAAGCUGUAACACAUAUAGCAGGCACAUAAGGCAUCCUCCUAGAUCCUUAGUCCUAUACUAGCAUGUUGUUCUACUAAAACUGGAACAAUUAAUCAUAAUAAUAAAACUUGUAUUGGUAAUUUGGGAGUAGUUACUUGAGCUCGGCUGAUCACAUGCACCACACCCUUAUCUUGUUUAAAAAUUCUUUUCUUCUAAGUGCUUUUUCAAAAUCUCAUUCGAAAACAUUUUUCUUUUUUUUUUUGAAAAUCUUUUUAUCUUUCCCUUAGUUUGAGUUCAGAUGCACCUGGAGGUGUAUCCGAAUCCCUCAAACCAGGGCUCUGAUACCAACUUGAAACGACCCAAAAAUACGGCCCGAAAAUUUCAUUUUUAAUAUAACCAAAAAUCAUAAAACUGAGUAUAUCAUAAUAAGACCAUGUGUUGCGUAUCUCAAAACUAUACUAAAAUAUUGUAAAAAGUAAACUGUGCCACAACUGUAUCAAAACAUAUCUAAGAAAACUGAANAAUCAACUCCCAGGAUAAAAACUGAAGCUGUGGUGUGUGCGAUGCCAUCAUCCCGAGCUCUUCCCUUUGCUUGCGGAAGUACCUGAAACCAAAACUGAAACUGUAAGCACGAAGCUUAGUGAGCUCCCCCAAACUACCACAUACCACACAAUAACAUAUAAAGCACAUAUUGGGCCUUGCCCACUGCAUCGGACCGAAGUCCGGCUAACUGGGGCCUUGCCCCCUACAUCGAACCGAAGUCCGAAGCUAACUGGAACAUCGGACCGAAGUCUGAAGCUGACUGAGACCCUCGUCCCCUACAUCGAACCAAGUCCGAAGCUGACUAGAACAUUGGACCAAAGUCCGAAGCUGACUGGGACCUACGUCCCCUACAUCGGACCGGAGUCCGAAGCUGACAUCAGACCGAAGUCCGAAGCUGACUGAACAUAGCAUAAACAUAUCAUCUACCAUAAACACAUAACCCUGUCUGAACCACGAAGGCAUCAAACAUACUAACUACUACAUCGGACCGAGGUCCGAAGCUGACUGCUAGCUAAACGGGCCGGCAUUGUGGCCUUAGACCCGUUACUACUGGAANNNNNNNNNNNNNNNNNNNNNNNNNNNNNNNNNNNNNNNNNNNNNNNNNNNNNNNNNNNNNNNNNNNNNNNNNNNNNNNNNNNNNNNNNNNNNNNNNNNNNNNNNNNNNNNNNNNNNNNNNNNNNNNNNNNNNNNNNNNNNNNNNNNNNNNNNNNNNNNNNNNNNACCCUACUCGCUGCUACUCGUCGAGUAUGGCAUCGACUCGACGAGUACUCUCUCGAUCCAAGAACUCAGACAAUCUUCAUCCGACUCGCCGAGUCAUAUGAACAACUCGACGAGUUGUUCUUGAGCUUAAGAAGAUUGCCUUGGACUCGCCGAGUUGUAUGAACAACUCGCCGAGUCCCUCCAUUACUGAGUCUGACCUCAAACUCGCUGAGUCCACUCUACCACUCACUGGUCCCACUCGGCAUCACUCAAAAGGGGAAAAACGGGGACUCGCGACUCGACUCGCCGAGUCGUUCUUCCGACUCGCCGAGUCGCUUGCAUGCAGCAACUCAAAACUCGAUUAUGCUUGAAUCCAGUGUAUAAAACUUAUAGAUCUGGACUCCCUUAACUCGAUUAGCACGUAAAGAUUCUAUCUUUACGUGCCCAUAUGCAUCCAUGAAGCUAAAAUGGCUCAAAAAGCAUAAUAAGGCUAGAUCUAGAGUUUUCAUUGCAAGGUAACUUCAAAAAGGCAAUAGAUAUGGGCUCUACAACUCCUAAAUGAACAAAUCUAAGGAUAUCUCGACAUAAUAGGGUAUCCAUACAAUCAUAAGGCUUGAGAAAGGCAUCAAACUAGCUCUAGAAGAGUUCUAAUGGAGGUUUAAAGCAUAAAACAGGAGGGAAUCCGAAGAAUACCUCAAAGAACUCUGAUUUGCCCUUGGAUCUUUGCUUUACACCUCUUCUCCUUGCUCCUUUCUUCUUCUCCUUCUUCAAGCCUUCAAAAUUUAACACAAGAACACUUAGAUCACUCAAGGAUGGAUUAGGGUUUUCUCACAGCUUUCUGAGGGUGAAGGAGGCGAGAAUGGGGGCUAUAAGGUGGAUUAAAUAGUGAGCAACCCGGGGAUUUAGGGUUUCUUCCAGGCAGGCAGACUCGCCGAGUCCUGAAUAUGGACUCGCCGAGUCGCCGACUAACACGUGCUCGAAAUCCCGUCCCUACUCGGCGAGUCAGGCUAUGAACUCGCCGAGUCCCUCUUGCAAACUUCAAAUAAAAUACUAUGGAAUCACCAUAUCGGAGACGGGUCGUUACAUCAAGAUUUUCCGAGAAAGCAAGCAUUUCCAAGCUACUUAGUGUUUCCAAACUAUAGUUGUUUCCGAGUUUAUCCCUUAAGAGAGAAUGGACUAAUUUGCAUUUUGUCUUAUGUUUGUUUUAGAAUAGGGGACAAGAUUAACAAUUGUAAGACCAACAUAUUCGAGCUAGUCAAUUAAGAUAUAAUAGGUGUUAAAAAUAACUUUUUGAUAGAAGAUUAUUUAGGACAAAUAAUUUUAACAAAUGUUAUAGUAUAUGUGGCAAGGAUUCCAGAGAUAUGAGGAACGCUUAAAUCCGACUUAUAACGAAUAAUUUAUGACACAUUGAAGUUUUAUGAUU